This 492-nucleotide ribosomal RNA is filed under the name uncultured bacterium. RNAcentral describes it as "partial 16S ribosomal RNA". It matches the Rfam family "Bacterial small subunit ribosomal RNA", at positions 29 to 507 of the family's 1533-position model. The record is from RNAcentral.
AGUGAACGCUGGCGGUAGGCCUAACACAUGCAAGUCGAACGGCAGCACAGUAAGAGCUUGCUCUUACGGGUGGCGAGUGGCGGACGGGUGAGGAAUACAUCGGAAUCUACUUUUUCGUGGGGGAUAACGUAGGGAAACUUACGCUAAUACCGCAUACGACCUACGGGUGAAAGCAGGGGAUAUUCGGACCUUUCGCGAUUGAAUGAGCCGGUGUCGGAUUAGCUAGUUGGCGGGGUAAAGGCCCACCAAGGCGACGAUCCGUAGCUGGUCUGAGAGGAUGAUCAGCCACACUGGAACUGAGACACGGUCCAGACUCCUACGGGAGGCAGCAGUGGGGAAUAUUGGACAAUGGGCGCAAGCCUGAUCCAGCCAUACCGCGUGGGUGAAGAAGGCCUUCGGGUUGUAAAGCUCUGUUGUUGGGAAAGAAAAGCAGCAGGUUAAUACCCCGCUGUUCUGACGGUACCCAAAGAAUAAGCACCGGCUAACUUCGUG